CCAAUAGCGUAUAUUAAAGUUGUUGCAGUUAAAAAGCUCGUAGUUGAAUUUCGGGGUCAGCAGGUUGGUCGUGCCAAUGGUAUGCACUGGCCUUGCUGAUUCCUCCCUCUUGAUGAGCCGUAAUGCCAUUAAUUUGGUGUUGCGGGGAAUCAGGACUGUUACUUAGAAAAAAUUAGAGUGUUUAAAGCAGGCAAGCGCUUGAAUACAUUAGCAUGGAAUAAUGAAAUAGGACGUUUGAUCCUAUUUUGUUGGUUUCUAGGAUUGACGUAAUGAUUAAUAGGGAUAGUUGGGGGCAUUAGUAUUCAAUUGUCAGAGGUGAAAUUCUUGGAUUUAUUGAAGACUAACUACUGCGAAAGCAUUUGCCAAGGAUGUUUUCAUUAAUCAAGAACGAAAGUUAGGGGAUCGAAGACGAUCAGAUACCGUCGUAGUCUUAACCAUAAACUAUGCCGACUAGGGAUCGGAUGAUGUUAAUUUUUUAAUGACUCAUUCGGCGCCUUACG
This 500-nucleotide ribosomal RNA is filed under the name uncultured Glomeromycotina. RNAcentral describes it as "partial small subunit ribosomal RNA". It matches the Rfam family "Eukaryotic small subunit ribosomal RNA", at positions 591 to 1092 of the family's 1831-position model. Lineage: Eukaryota; Fungi; Glomeromycota. The record is from RNAcentral.